This 395-nucleotide ribosomal RNA is filed under the name uncultured bacterium. RNAcentral's name for it is "bacterial SSU rRNA". It matches the Rfam family "Bacterial small subunit ribosomal RNA", at positions 30 to 429 of the family's 1533-position model. The record is from RNAcentral.
AUUGAACGCUGGCGGCAUGCUUUACACAUGCAAGUCGAACGGUAACAGGCCUUCGGGUGCUGACGAGUGGCGAACGGGUGAGUAAUGCAUCGGAACGUGCCCAAUCGUGGGGGAUAACGUAGCGAAAGUUACGCUAAUACCGCAUAAGCCCUGAGGGGGAAAGUGGGGGACCGCAAGGCCUCACGCGAAUGGAGCGGCCGAUGUCAGAUUAGCUAGUUGGUGGGGUAAAGGCUCACCAAGGCGACGAUCUGUAGCGGGUCUGAGAGGAUGAUCCGCCACACUGGAACUGAGACACGGUCCAGACUCCUACGGGAGGCAGCAGUGGGGAAUUUUGGACAAUGGGCGCAAGCCUGAUCCAGCCAUGCCGCGUGAGUGAAGAAGGCCUCGGUUGUAAG